This is a transfer RNA of 73 nucleotides. It matches the Rfam family "tRNA". From Rfam's summary of the family: Transfer RNA (tRNA) molecules are approximately 80 nucleotides in length. The record is from Rfam.
GGUUUCGUGUUGUAAUUGGUUAGCAAUCAAGACUCUGAAUCUUGCAAUCCGAGUUCGAGUCUCGGCGAGACCU